UGCCUCUGUUCUGUAAUCAGAUCGGAUAAAUCUUUCGCCUUUUACUAAAGAUUUCCGUGGCUGCGGAACACAAAGGAGGUUAAUCACAAUUUUUUGACCCCAAUUGGGU
Molecule: small nuclear RNA, 109 nt
Filed under: Lichtheimia corymbifera JMRC:FSU:9682
Lineage: Eukaryota; Fungi; Mucoromycota; Mucoromycetes; Mucorales; Lichtheimiaceae
Description: U5 spliceosomal RNA
Rfam family: U5 spliceosomal RNA
About the family: U5 RNA is a component of both types of known spliceosome. The precise function of this molecule is unknown, though it is known that the 5' loop is required for splice site selection and p220 binding, and that both the 3' stem-loop and the Sm site are important for Sm protein binding and cap methylation.
Source: Rfam by way of RNAcentral